RNAcentral lists this ribosomal RNA (497 nucleotides) under uncultured bacterium. RNAcentral's name for it is "partial 16S ribosomal RNA". It matches the Rfam family "Bacterial small subunit ribosomal RNA", at positions 28 to 507 of the family's 1533-position model. The record is from RNAcentral.
GAUGAACGCUGGCGGCGUGCCUAAUACAUGCAAGUCGAGCGAACGGACGAGAAGCUUGCUUCUCUGAUGUUAGCGGCGGACGGGUGAGUAACACGUGGAUAACCUACCUAUAAGACUGGGAUAACUUCGGGGAACCGUAGCUAAUACCGGAUAAUAUUUUGAACCGCAUAAUUCAAAAGUGCAAGACGGUCUUGCUGUCACUUAUAGAUGGAUUCGUGCUGCAUUAGCUAGUUGGUAAGGUCCCGGCUAACCAAGGCGACGAUCCGUAGCUGACCUGAGAGGAUGAUCAGCCACACUGGAACUGAGACACGGUCCAGACUCCUACGGGAGGCAGCAGUGGGGAAUAUUGGACAAUGGGCGCAAGCCUGAUCCAGCCAUACCGCGUGGGUGAAGAAGGCCUUCGGGUUGUAAAGCCCUUUUGUUGGGAAAGAAAAGCAGCAGGUUAAUACCCCGCUGUUCUGACGGUACCCAAAGAAUAAGCACCGGCUAACUUCGUG